Molecule: ribosomal RNA, 2168 nt
Filed under: uncultured Intestinibacter sp.
Lineage: Bacteria; Bacillati; Bacillota; Clostridia; Peptostreptococcales; Peptostreptococcaceae
Description: partial contains 16S ribosomal RNA, 16S-23S ribosomal RNA intergenic spacer, and 23S ribosomal RNA
Rfam family: Bacterial small subunit ribosomal RNA (bases 1-1478)
Source: RNAcentral
GAUGAACGCUGGCGGCGUGCCUAACACAUGCAAGUCGAGCGAUUUACUUCGGUAAAGAGCGGCGGACGGGUGAGUAACGCGUGGGUAACCUGCCCUGUACACACGGAUAACAUACCGAAAGGUAUGCUAAUACGAGAUAAAAUACUUUUAUCGCAUGGUAGAAGUAUCAAAGCUUUUGCGGUACAGGAUGGACCCGCGUCUGAUUAGCUAGUUGGUAAGGUAACGGCUUACCAAGGCGACGAUCAGUAGCCGACCUGAGAGGGUGAUCGGCCACAUUGGAACUGAGACACGGUCCAAACUCCUACGGGAGGCAGCAGUGGGGAAUAUUGCACAAUGGGCGAAAGCCUGAUGCAGCAACGCCGCGUGAGCGAUGAAGGCCUUCGGGUCGUAAAGCUCUGUCCUCAAGGAAGAUAAUGACGGUACUUGAGGAGGAAGCCCCGGCUAACUACGUGCCAGCAGCCGCGGUAAUACGUAGGGGGCUAGCGUUAUCCGGAAUUACUGGGCGUAAAGGGUGCGUAGGUGGUUUCUUAAGUCAGAGGUGAAAGGCUACGGCUCAACCGUAGUAAGCCUUUGAAACUGGGGAACUUGAGUGCAGGAGAGGAGAGUGGAAUUCCUAGUGUAGCGGUGAAAUGCGUAGAUAUUAGGAGGAACACCAGUUGCGAAGGCGGCUCUCUGGACUGUAACUGACACUGAGGCACGAAAGCGUGGGGAGCAAACAGGAUUAGAUACCCUGGUAGUCCACGCCGUAAACGAUGAGUACUAGCUGUCGGAGGUUACCCCCUUCGGUGGCGCAGCUAACGCAUUAAGUACUCCGCCUGGGAAGUACGCUCGCAAGAGUGAAACUCAAAGGAAUUGACGGGGACCCGCACAAGUAGCGGAGCAUGUGGUUUAAUUCGAAGCAACGCGAAGAACCUUACCUAAGCUUGACAUCCUUUUGACCGAUGCCUAAUCGCAUCUUUCCCUUCGGGGACAGAAGUGACAGGUGGUGCAUGGUUGUCGUCAGCUCGUGUCGUGAGAUGUUGGGUUAAGUCCCGCAACGAGCGCAACCCUUGCCUUUAGUUGCCAGCAUUAAGUUGGGCACUCUAGAGGGACUGCCAGGGAUAACCUGGAGGAAGGUGGGGAUGACGUCAAAUCAUCAUGCCCCUUAUGCUUAGGGCUACACACGUGCUACAAUGGGUGGUACAGAGGGCAGCCAAGUCGUGAGGCGGAGCUAAUCCCUUAAAGCCAUUCUCAGUUCGGAUUGUAGGCUGAAACUCGCCUACAUGAAGCUGGAGUUACUAGUAAUCGCAGAUCAGAAUGCUGCGGUGAAUGCGUUCCCGGGUCUUGUACACACCGCCCGUCACACCACGGAAGUUGGGGGCGCCCGAAGCCACUUAGCUAACCCUUUUGGGAAGCGAGUGUCGAAGGUGAAAUCAAUAACUGGGGUGAAGUCGUAACAAGGUAGCCGUAUCGGAAGGUGCGGCUGGAUCACCUCCUUUCUAAGGAGAAUUACCUACUGUUUAAUUUUGAGGGUUCAUUCCUCAAUGUUAGUACCUUGAAAACUGCAUAACAUUUAGUGAUAUGACAUCAUUUUAAACAUAGAUAGACAAGAAAAGUCUUAAAAAUAACACUUUUAAGCACUGGAAUAAACUGAGUGAAUACGAAGUUUGUUCAGUAGCGAUAACUUUUUAAUAACUGGUCAAGUUAUUAAGGGUGCAGGGCGGAUGCCUUGGCACUAGGAGCCGAUGAAGGACGUGAUAAGCUGCGAUAAGCUUCGGGGAGUUGCACGUAAACUUUGAUCCGAAGAUUUCCGAAUGAGGAAACUCACUUAGAGUAAUGUCUAAGUAUCGUUAAGUGAAUACAUAACUUAGCGAGGGGAACCCGGGGAACUGAAACAUCUAAGUACCCGGAGGAAGAGAAAGAAAUUCGAUUCCGUAAGUAGCGGCGAGCGAAAGCGGAACAGGCCAAACCAAUGAAGUUUACUUCGUUGGGGUUGCGGACAUACAACAUGGAUGCAAUAUCGUAAAUGAAGAGAGUUGGAAAGCUCCGCCAUAGAAGGUAAUAGCCCUGUAGUUGAAACGAGAAAGCUACUAGUAUGAUCCAGAGUACCACGGGACACGUGAAACCCUGUGGGAAGCAGGAGGGACCAUCCUCCAAGCCUAAAUACUACCUAGUGACCGAUAGCGCAU